This 156-nucleotide ribosomal RNA is filed under the name uncultured bacterium. RNAcentral describes it as "partial 16S ribosomal RNA". It matches the Rfam family "Bacterial small subunit ribosomal RNA", at positions 1345 to 1500 of the family's 1533-position model. The record is from RNAcentral.
CGGAUCAGCAUGCCGCGGUGAAUACGUUCCCGGGCCUUGUACACACCGCCCGUCACACCAUGAGAGCCGUCAAUGCCCGAAGUCCGUAGCCUAACCGCAAGGAGGGCGCGGCCGAAGGCAGGGGUGGUAAUUAGGGUGAAGUCGUAACAAGGUAUC